UACGGAGGGGGCUAGCGUUGUUCGGAAUUACUGGGCGUAAAGCGCGCGUAGGCGGCUUUGUAAGUUAGAGGUGAAAGCCCGGAGCUCAACUCCGGAACUGCCUUUAAGACUGCAUCGCUAGAAUUGUGGAGAGGUAAGUGGAAUUCCGAGUGUAGAGGUGAAAUUCGUAGAUAUUCGGAAGAACACCAGUGGCGAAGGCGACUUACUGGACACAUAUUGACGCUGAGGUGCGAAAGCGGUGGGGAGCAAACAGG
Molecule: ribosomal RNA, 254 nt
Filed under: uncultured bacterium
Lineage: Bacteria
Description: partial 16S ribosomal RNA
Rfam family: Bacterial small subunit ribosomal RNA
Source: RNAcentral